GGCGGGGCGGGAGGGGAAGGGAGGGACGGGUCUUUUUGUUCUGGGGACUCUGCCCAGGGUCGCGGGGCAGGGACGCAGAGCCUAGCCCGCACUUCUGCUCCCACGCGACCCAGAGGUCGCCUGAGGGCAGGGCCGGGGACCGCGACCUGCCAAGUCGUAGGGAUGGCCUGAGCAGGCUUGGCCGCCCUAGAGCGGGGUGUCGGGUUGCCCACGCAUCCAGAUAAACACUAGCGUGGAGGGAGCAUUCCUGAAGCUUUGACCUGAGCCAGGGCCCGAGUACAUGUUUCCGCCCUCCCACUUACUAGCUUAUGACCUUGGGAAAGCCCGGUUGCUUCACUGGAGCUUGUUUCCUCGGCCAUAAAAUUAAGAGGUUGGGCUAGAGAAUCUCCACAGUCCCAAACAGAUGUGAAAUUCUUUUCCUUUCUAGAACUCUCCCUUCUUUUAUCUAGAAAACAAAAACCUCCUUGACACCAGGUACCGAUGCCACAUUUUGUGGGAGAACCACCUCCUCUCUUAAAAUAUAAAGCCUCCCCGGGAGUUCCGCAGAAAUCUGUAAAAAUGUAAUAUGUGGAGCGGUACACAAAUGGAAAGCUGCUCCUAAACAGCGCUCAGAACUUUGUACCUCUUUAUAGUACAGAUCAGACUCCGCUGCAAACCCAGGCAACAUUAGACUCCCCGCUUAACUCCCGGAAGGCAGAGAGCUUGGCUUGUUUAUCCAGCAUCCCUACAGUGGCCCAGCCCUUCUAGCAGGAGGGGUUGGGGGGGUGGUAUAGUGAUAGUCCUUGGUUCAGGGGGUAGAUGCAUGAUCCAAACACCCACAGCCAGCUAAAAGUUAUCAAGCUGAUGCAAUCAGAAUUUUGCUGGGGCUGGGCUUGGUGACUCACGCCUGUAAUCCCGGCUUUGGGAGGCAGAGAUGGCGGAUCACCUGAGGUCAGAAGUUCGAGACCAGCCUGGCCAACAGGGCGAAACUCCGACACUACUGGCUUGGUCUGCAAAUGGAGAGCUCCCUCAAGAGUGCCCUUUCCAGAGAGAAGCCCUCACCUCUGCCCUGUGUGAUGUCUCAGAAGCCACUACCAGAUAGCCACGGUUUCUGCAGUCAAAGCCGUGCUGGAGGGGACAGAGGUGGGCCUCUGGAGCCAGACCCCCUGGGGCUGACUCCUGCUUCCACUUUAGUCGGCCCUUGAACAACAGGGGUUUGGACUGCAUGAGUCUACUUACAUGUGGAUUUUUUUCAACAAAAGUUACACUAAA
Molecule: long non-coding RNA, 1251 nt
Organism: Gorilla gorilla gorilla (western lowland gorilla)
Lineage: Eukaryota; Metazoa; Chordata; Mammalia; Primates; Hominidae
Exons: 2
Source: RefSeq, a predicted model, not a curated record